UACGGGAGGCAGCAGUAGGGGAUCUUCCGCAAUGGACGAAAGUCUGACGGAGCGACGCCGCGUGAGUGAUGAAGGUUUUCGGAUCGUAAAGCUCUGUUGUUAGGGAAGAACAAGUGCGAGAGUAACUGCUCGCACCUUGACGGUACCUAACCAGAAAGCCACGGCUAACUACGUGCCAGCAGCCGCGGUAAUAAUCGUCG
Molecule: ribosomal RNA, 200 nt
Filed under: uncultured Bacteroides sp.
Lineage: Bacteria; Pseudomonadati; Bacteroidota; Bacteroidia; Bacteroidales; Bacteroidaceae
Description: partial 16S ribosomal RNA
Rfam family: Bacterial small subunit ribosomal RNA
Source: RNAcentral